This 447-nucleotide ribosomal RNA is filed under the name uncultured bacterium. RNAcentral's name for it is "bacterial SSU rRNA". It matches the Rfam family "Bacterial small subunit ribosomal RNA", at positions 329 to 793 of the family's 1533-position model. The record is from RNAcentral.
AGCCAGACUCCUACGGGAGGCAGCAGUGGGGGAUAUUGCACAAUGGGGGGAACCCUGAUGCAGCGACGCCGCGUGGGUGAAGAAGCGCCUCGGCGCGUAAAGCCCUGUCAGCAGGGAAGAAAAUGACGGUACCUGAAGAAGAAGCCCCGGCUAACUACGUGCCAGCAGCCGCGGUAAUACGUAGGGGGCAAGCGUUAUCCGGAUUUACUGGGUGUAAAGGGGGCGCAGACGGCGAUGCAAGCCAGGAGUGAAAGCCCGGGGCCCAACCCCGGGACUGCUCUUGGAACUGCGUGGCUUGAGUGCAGGAGGGGCAUAUGGAAUUCCUAGUGUAGCGGUGGAAUGCGUAGAUAUUAGGAGGAACACCAGUGGCGAAGGCGAUAUGCUGGACUGUAACUGACACUGAGGCACGAAAGCGUGGGGAGCAAACAGGAUUAGAUACCCUGGUAC